AUAUCUCUCUGUACGGGAAGGAUGAGAAGCUUCGACUAAGGUUCGAUUCGAGCGCAGCGAGAAAGCGUUGCCGUAGGCAACGACCCGAAGGGC
This 93-nucleotide small RNA is filed under the name Salmonella enterica subsp. enterica serovar Give. RNAcentral's name for it is "partial RtT sRNA". It matches the Rfam family "RtT RNA", at positions 1 to 92 of the family's 130-position model. Rfam says of the family: This family represents a bacterial cis-regulatory element known as RtT RNA. The exact function of RtT is unknown although it is thought that it may be involved in changing the cellular response in relation to amino acid starvation. Lineage: Bacteria; Pseudomonadati; Pseudomonadota; Gammaproteobacteria; Enterobacterales; Enterobacteriaceae. The record is from RNAcentral.